RNAcentral lists this non-coding RNA (26 nucleotides) under Homo sapiens (human). The record is from RNAcentral. Lineage: Eukaryota; Metazoa; Chordata; Mammalia; Primates; Hominidae.
UGAGAUCAUCUCAUGCCUCGAUGUCC